Molecule: long non-coding RNA, 243 nt
Organism: Polypterus senegalus (gray bichir)
Lineage: Eukaryota; Metazoa; Chordata; Cladistia; Polypteriformes; Polypteridae
Exons: 3
Source: RefSeq, a predicted model, not a curated record
UUUCCUGGGUUCCUAUGACUGUGUUUGGAUUUCAAGUCCUGAGUUACAAUGUCCGGUGGAGAUGUUCCAAUGAGCAGUUCAGCCUCACUGUCCCUGCAAGUGAAAGCUCAAUACUUCUGACAGGUCUUAAUAGAUCAUCUUUAUGCACUGUCAUGAUCCAAGUCAACACAGAUGGCUCACCAAUGCCUCCAUUUUCUGUUUUCAUAUAUGGUUCAUGUGCUUGUCCAACAAAUUUAAAUACUG